CAGCCGCCGCGGUAAUACGUAGGGUGCAAGCGUUAAUCGGAAUUACUGGGCGUAAAGCGUGCGUAGGCGGCUUUUUAAGUCGGAUGUGAAAUCCCUGAGCUUAACUUAGGAAUUGCAUUCGAUACUGGGAAGCUAGAGUAUGGGAGAGGAUGGUAGAAUUCCAGGUGUAGCGGUGAAAUGCGUAGAGAUCUGGAGGAAUACCGAUGGCGAAGGCAGCCAUCUGGCCUAAUACUGACGCUGAGGUACGAAAGCAUGGGGAGCAAACAGGAUUAGAUACCCCUGUAGUCCCUGUCUCUUAUAC
Molecule: ribosomal RNA, 301 nt
Filed under: uncultured bacterium
Lineage: Bacteria
Description: partial 16S ribosomal RNA
Rfam family: Bacterial small subunit ribosomal RNA
Source: RNAcentral